Molecule: unclassified non-coding RNA, 332 nt
Filed under: soil metagenome
Description: partial contains 5.8S ribosomal RNA, internal transcribed spacer 2, and large subunit ribosomal RNA
Rfam family: 5.8S ribosomal RNA (bases 1-120)
Source: RNAcentral
GAUGAAGAACGUAGCGAAAUGCGAUAAGUAGUGUGAAUUGCAGAAUUCAGUGAAUCAUCGAAUCUUUGAACGCACAUUGCGCCCUUUGGUAUUCCUUAGGGCAUGCCUGUUCGAGCGUCAUUUAAACCUUCAAGCUAAGCUUGGUGUUGGGUGACUGUCCGCUUCACGGCGGACUCGCCUCAAAAUUAUUGGCGGCCGGUACAUUGGCUUCGAGCGCAGCAGAAACGCGAACUCGGGCCCGUCGUAUUGGCUCCCAGAAGCUAUCUUCACAAUUUUGACCUCGGAUAAGGUAGGGAUACCCGCUGAACUUAAGCAUAUCAAUAAGCGGAGGA